Molecule: long non-coding RNA, 500 nt
Organism: Drosophila navojoa
Lineage: Eukaryota; Metazoa; Arthropoda; Insecta; Diptera; Drosophilidae
Source: RefSeq, a predicted model, not a curated record
CUUUUUAAUCUUUACUUACCGUUUACAACUAGUUGUUUAGCGUGUCAAACAUUGCGUUAAUAAUUCGGGCAUCUGCCUAAAAUUAAAUAAAUGAGAAAUUAAAUUUAAAUACGUGUGAAUUAAAGAAUAAAGUGCAAAGUGUGUGUGAAAAGUGAAGCAAAUUCGCGACAAAUACGAAAAAUUAGCUGCAACCCGCGGCCCUGCUUCAAUUUCCUUUUUUAUGCCAAUUACUUUUUUAAUUGCGACACUUUCAAAAAUCAAGAAAAAAAGUUCAUAAAUGUGUGCAAAAAGUGAAAAGCCUUUUGCGAAAAAUGUGAGUGCCAGCCGUUGCUAAUUGAAGUUCAAUGGAAAAAUGACCAAAAGUUAAUGAUGACAUUUCGCCGGGAGAAAAAAAAAUAGCAAAACACAAAACGUAAAGCAGCACAAAUAGGAAUGGAAACGAACGAGUAUAAGAGCCGAGUAAGCGUGCAAAUAAAACGAAAAAAAAAAAAAAAAAUAAU